AAUCAUCCACCUUGACUUUUGGUUAAUUCCUCAGGUCUUGGCUGGGACGUGGGUGCUUGCCUCUGACAAGGAGGCUCGCCUUAAAAUGAUUGUCUGACUAUUGUCUGUGGUCGGUUUGACUUGGUGUUAUAAGUUAUUUCACUGAGGACAUCGCAAGAUGGCCGAUCUCUAUGUCUCUGGUCUAGCCAAUGAACUUGGCAAACCAUCUUUUUGAC
RNAcentral lists this unclassified non-coding RNA (215 nucleotides) under uncultured Filobasidiales. RNAcentral describes it as "sequence contains ITS2". The record is from RNAcentral. Lineage: Eukaryota; Fungi; Basidiomycota; Tremellomycetes.